Molecule: ribosomal RNA, 289 nt
Filed under: uncultured Glomeromycotina
Lineage: Eukaryota; Fungi; Glomeromycota
Description: partial large subunit ribosomal RNA
Source: RNAcentral
UGUAAUCACGUUCUAACCUUUUGACCGCCAACUAAAAUGUCAUAAGCACGCUUUCGACAUCCGAGCGACUUUCAGAGGUCAGACGGAUAGCCCAAAAGGGUAUUCGUUGCAAUCCUCGAUCCCAAUCGUCACAUCUACCAAAGGCUAUAACACUCCGAUACAAGAUCAGAGCCACAUUCCUCCGAUCAUUUUAUGACGAUCAAAAUCGAUGUUGACUUACCAUACGGAAAAGUACACCUCAAAAGCACCAUAACGCAAGCAACGAAGGCCGUGAAGCUCAACGUCAUUC